Molecule: ribosomal RNA, 413 nt
Filed under: uncultured bacterium
Lineage: Bacteria
Description: bacterial SSU rRNA
Rfam family: Bacterial small subunit ribosomal RNA
Source: RNAcentral
UAGGGAAUAUUGCGCAAUGGAGGGAACUCUGACGCAGCGACGCCGCGUGAGCGAUGAAGGUCUUCGGAUCGUAAAGCUCUGUCCUCAGGGAAGAAGGUUAUUAACUUGACGGUACCUGAGGAGGAAGCCCCGGCUAACUACGUGCCAGCAGCCGCGGUAAUACGUAGGGGGCAAGCGUUGUCCGGAAUUAUUGGGCGUAAAGGGUGCGUAGGCGGCCUUUUAAGUCAGAUGUGAAAGCCCACGGCUUAACCGUGGGAUUGCAUUUGAAACUGGAGGGCUUGAGUAUCGGAGAGGGUAGUGGAAUUCCCAGUGUAGCGGUGAAAUGCGUAGAUAUUGGGAGGAACACCAGUGGCGAAGGCGACUACCUGGACGAAAACUGACGCUGAUGCACGAAAGCUAGGGGAGCAAACAGG